UUUAAGUGACCAGACUGGAGGUAAGGUCCCUGGUCGAGCAUUGCUCUCGGGGCGCCAGUCUUAUUGGAUUAAGAGAGCCGAAUGGCUACUAGAUUUCUUAUUUGGAUAUUUAAGUGACCAGACUGGAAGUAAGGUCCCUGGUCGAGCUUUGCUCUCGGGGCGCCAGUCUUAUUGGAUAAGAGAGCCAAAAGGCUAAGGCUGAGAGUUAAGUGACCGGACUGGAGGUAAGGUCCCUGGUCGAGCUUUGCUCUCUGGGCGCCAGUCCUGUUGGAAUGAGAGGUUUGAGAUGAUAGAGUUGAGGUUAGUUGAGACAUGAGUGUUGAAAUAAUCGAGAUUUUAGAGUUGGGAUUAGAGUUCUACUGAAGUACUCUGUCCCGUUGCAUGUGGAAUAAAUUUUGUUUAAGCAUGGCAUGACACAUAUGUUUUAACAUGACACGUAUGGUUCGCGUGAUUUAUUAAUUAUUUUAAAAUUAAAUGAAUGUGACAUUGAGAUAUUUGAAACUGUUUUAGAUAUAUGAUUUUAACUCACUCUCGAGACUGACAGUCUCCAUUUAUGUUUUUUUCAGAUUCGUGACUGUUAGUUCUCCCGCGACUCUUAUUCAGUAACCCGACUCCUUCAUCAUCGGGUGAAGUAUUUGAUUUGGUAUGUAAAAUGGUAAAUCUUAGAUUCUCCGCAGUAGUAAUAGUAAAUGUAUCAGUUGUAAAUUUUUCUGAGCUUCGGGUCUCGCCUAGUUUUUCUGGCAGACCGAAGUAUUUAUGUAGAAUGUGGC
This 770-nucleotide long non-coding RNA is filed under the name Ricinus communis (castor bean). Its description in RNAcentral is "long non-coding RNA (RCOM_LNC002335)". The record is from RNAcentral. Lineage: Eukaryota; Viridiplantae; Streptophyta; Magnoliopsida; Malpighiales; Euphorbiaceae.